UCCCUGGAGGACUAGUGGCUAGGCCUGGGAGUGCUCACCGCCGCGGCCCAGGUUCGAUUCCUGGCCAGGGAA
RNAcentral lists this transfer RNA (72 nucleotides) under Pangasianodon hypophthalmus (striped catfish). RNAcentral describes it as "tRNA-Glu". Lineage: Eukaryota; Metazoa; Chordata; Actinopteri; Siluriformes; Pangasiidae. The record is from RNAcentral.